CGGUAAUACGGAGGAUCCAAGCGUUAUCCGGAAUCAUUGGGUUUAAAGGGUCCGUAGGCGGUCAGAUAAGUCAGUGGUGAAAGCCCAUCGCUCAACGGUGGAACGGCCAUUGAUACUGUCUGACUUGGAUUAUUAGGAAGUAACUAGAAUAUGUAGUGUAGCGGUGAAAUGCUUAGAGAUUACAUGGAAUACCAAUUGCGAAGGCAGGUUACUACUAAUUGAUUGACGCUGAUGGACGAAAGCGUGGGUAGCGAACAGGAUUAGAUACCCUGGUAGUCCACGCCGUAAACGAUGGAUACUAGCUGUUGGGAGCAAUCUCAGUGGCUAAGCGAAAGUGAUAAGUAUCCCACCUGGGGAGUACGUUCGCAAGAAUGAA
This 376-nucleotide ribosomal RNA is filed under the name uncultured bacterium. RNAcentral's name for it is "bacterial SSU rRNA". It matches the Rfam family "Bacterial small subunit ribosomal RNA", at positions 518 to 898 of the family's 1533-position model. The record is from RNAcentral.